RNAcentral lists this long non-coding RNA (318 nucleotides) under Bos taurus (domestic cattle). Its description in RNAcentral is "long non-coding RNA NONBTAT005629". Lineage: Eukaryota; Metazoa; Chordata; Mammalia; Artiodactyla; Bovidae. The record is from RNAcentral.
CUUGUGUCAAUUUUUGAUGACCUAUCCCACCAGAGAAAGCUUGGCUCCUUUUCUACUUGGAGGAAGAAGAGUGGGCUAAAUGGUUAUAGUGGUAGUUCCAUUUAUUUGAAGUACAUUGGGAAAUAUACUUCCUAUUUAGAUUCCCAUGUUGUUUACAUUACUAAUAUGGUUCUCUCUCAACUCCUAGAUCUGUUCAGAGCAGGUUUCUCAUAGCCCCUUCCUCAUUGUACUCUCUCCCAGGAAUUCUUUCCCUCUGACUGGCUAGAGGAGAGCUUUCCAGAAAACCAGGUUUCAUGAUAAUAGACAUGGAAGGAGGUA